This 253-nucleotide ribosomal RNA is filed under the name uncultured bacterium. RNAcentral describes it as "partial 16S ribosomal RNA". It matches the Rfam family "Bacterial small subunit ribosomal RNA", at positions 524 to 776 of the family's 1533-position model. The record is from RNAcentral.
UACGUAGGGUGCGAGCGUUAAUCGGAAUUACUGGGCGUAAAGGGUGCGCAGGCGGUUUUGUAAGCCAGAUGUGAAAUCCCCGGGCUUAACCUGGGAAUGGCAUUUGGGACUGCAAGGCUGGAGUGCGGCAGAGGAGACUGGAAUUCCCGGUGUAGCAGUGAAAUGCGUAGAUAUCGGGAGGAAUACCGAUGGCGAAGGCAGGUCUCUGGGCUGACACUGACGCUCAUGCACGAAAGCGUGGGGAGCAAACAGG